GGACGACUGUCUUCCGCCUCAACUGUGGAGCCUCGCCGACCGUUAGUCCUCACAGCCACCUCAGGGGCAACCGACGCAGCGCCACCUCAUCGUGUCCGCCAUCUUGGGGCGACGGGCAGAAGUCCAGGACUAGGAGCCUCAGCCGGCGGACGCCAGGAAACAGUCAGGCUAAGGAGUUGGCUGAGACGAUGUGGUCUGACAAGCAAAAUUGACUUUCUUGUAGUACAGAUCUGCUGGAUUGCUUCAGCUUUCCUACGUCUGACUUUGUAAGAUUUGUUUCAGCUUUUGCAUGACUGAGAAUGUCUU
RNAcentral lists this long non-coding RNA (306 nucleotides) under Pan troglodytes (chimpanzee). Its description in RNAcentral is "long non-coding RNA NONPTRT011490". Lineage: Eukaryota; Metazoa; Chordata; Mammalia; Primates; Hominidae. The record is from RNAcentral.